GAUUAAAAAAAACUAAAACUAAAACUGAAACUGUUAGACAUACAAUUGUUGAAAUUGGAAGAAUAACUAGUAACAUGAAAGCUUUAUAAUUUGUACCUCUAGAUGAAGUGACCUUAUGAUUAUUUAUUCUGAAACUAUAGGACAAUAAGCAAGAAUAUUGCUAAGAUAGAUUGUAAAACCUGAUGACUAUUGUGGCAGUUUUCUACUAAUAGAGUUACUGAGAUGCAUACAAAUAAUUGUUGUUAUUGUUAUAUGAUAAGACCUAUAGAGUGUGAACUACAACAAAUUAUAUCUAUGGUGUGUGAAUUUACAUUCUGCAAUAUAUGUAUAUUGUUAUUCUAUCUAUACGCGUUGUGUCUUGGUCCCGAGGUGUUCGACCCUCGACAAGUUGUUUGUUAUGAUUGUUAGAUGGCUGUUAUUAUAGUCGUUAUGUUAUUCGAUAUAUUUAUGUGACAAGUGAUUUCUAUUGCUUGAGAGGCCAAGAUUGGUUCCAUGAGAGUAGUAUGUAGGUCUGAGUCUCUUUCUCUAAUUUGUUUGGAUGUACGAGAUUGUUGAUGUACGUGGCAUUAGGUCUACGCACACGAUGCGGUGACAAAAGUCAAGAGGACUGAAUAGAAAGUAAGGAAUCGAUGGUUCUAUUGCAUUUGCAAGGAGGUGAGAUUAUGUUGAGAAAGUAGAUGAUGGACAAAAAUACACUGGGAUAUAGUGGGCAAAGAGAUUCGAAGAACUUAGGGGAAUUAGCAAGUGGUGACUACCUAACAUUUGGUAUACUCAUUUUGCACAAGAAACUCACAGGCCUUACACUACCAAAAAAAAUAUUUUUGACGACAUGUAUUUAAAGUCGGUUGUCGAAAGACCAUCGUUGUUUGGGGGCGAUGACAAUUUUGUAAACAUUAUCAACAUUUCAAAGAUGAUUUUCGUGAAACAGUCUUUGAAUAGUGUAAAACGGAGACGGUUUUUGCAAAAUCAUCUUUGAAUUUGGAUAAUUAUAAAUUUGAACCUAUUGUCGUUCCUCUCCUUUCACUAGCCAUCUUCUUGUUCUCCUCUUUUCAAUGCCCUCUCUCCUCUUCCCACUGCCUUCUCUUCUCUUCCCAAUGUCCUCUCUCCACCAUUUCCUCGACGCCAAGGGCCACUGCCUCCUGGAAAUGCCCAUCGGCAUAGGGAAAACCAUCGCACUCCUCUCAUUGAUCACAAGCUACGUUCUUUCGAAGCCCUAUUCCCCGUUCAAGCUCCUCUAUUGCAGCCGCACCGUCCAUGAGACGGAGAAGACGCUCGCUGAGCUGUCUUCUCCUUGAUUACUAGCUCUACCACCUUGGCUCCACCACCAAGAUCCUCUCCCUUAACCUCAAAUUCAGGAAGAAUCUUUGCGUUAUCCCGCGGGUUCUCGCCACUGAGAAUCGCAACUCCAUGGCUUCCUCGGUCUUCCCUAUGAGUUCCAAGUCGAGAUCCCUGCCAGGGUCCCCAAUGCCAAGUUCAUAGUUUGGACGAUACUAACUCUAUCCUAUCCUCUGGUUGUGAUGGGUCUGAGAGCAGCAUAUAGAGGCUAAUCAAGUUGCGAAAUUCUGCAAUGCAUUCAUAUCAAGAGUACAAAAUUCCAACUGCUUGGAUGCUUGAUUCAGGAAUCAUGACCAAUGCUUCUAUGACUCUGGUCAAGAUGUCUGCAGAUAAAGCAGGCUUCUAGGACCAAGGUAUCCACGUUUCAAAGGUUGGACAGGCCGUCAACCAUUGCCUGUUGACGCAUACUUGUUGCCAGAUGUGGUUCCAGGAUAUAAAACCCCAUUUAGACUUCUUCCUUAUCGAGAAGGCCUUGUUUAACCAACAAGGAAAUGACUAACUUCCGUAGGCUUGCAAGAACAUCAGCUCCACACUUUGCC
Glycine soja is the source of this 1874-nucleotide long non-coding RNA. RefSeq lists it as uncharacterized. NCBI's taxonomy places the organism in Eukaryota, Viridiplantae, Streptophyta, Magnoliopsida, Fabales, Fabaceae. The record is from RefSeq and is a predicted model, not a curated record. The transcript has 3 exons.